ACGAACGCUGGCGGCGUGCUUAACACAUGCAAGUCGAACGGAAAGGCCCUGCUUUUGUGGGGUGCUCGCGUGGCGAACGGGUGAGUAACACGUGAGUAACCUGCCCUUGACUUUGGGAUAACUUCAGGAAACUGGGGCUAAUACCGGAUAGGAGCUCCUGCUGCAUGGUGGGGGUUGGAAAGUUUCGGCGGUUGGGGAUGGACUCGCGGCUUAUCAGCUUGUUGGUGGGGUAGUGGCUUACCAAGGCUUUGACGGGUAGCCGGCCUGAGAGGGUGACUGGCCACAUUGGGACUGAGAUACGGCCCAGACUCCUACGGGAGGCAGCAGUGGGGAAUAUUGCACAAUGGGCGGAAGCCUGAUGCAGCAACGCCGCGUGCGGGAUGACGGCCUUCGGGUUGUAAACCGCUUUCGCCUGUGACGAAGCGUGAGUGACGGUAAUGGGUAAAGAAGCACCGGCUAACUACGUG
RNAcentral lists this ribosomal RNA (467 nucleotides) under uncultured bacterium. RNAcentral's name for it is "partial 16S ribosomal RNA". It matches the Rfam family "Bacterial small subunit ribosomal RNA", at positions 29 to 507 of the family's 1533-position model. The record is from RNAcentral.